This 460-nucleotide ribosomal RNA is filed under the name uncultured bacterium. RNAcentral describes it as "partial 16S ribosomal RNA". It matches the Rfam family "Bacterial small subunit ribosomal RNA", at positions 338 to 795 of the family's 1533-position model. The record is from RNAcentral.
CCUACGGUGGGCAGCAGUGAGGAAUAUUGGUCAAUGGACGCAAGUCUGAACCAGCCAAGUAGCGUGCAGGAUGACGGCCCUCCGGGUUGUAAACUGCUUUUAGUUGGGAAUAAAAGGGGGCUCGUGAGCCCCGGUUUGUAUGUACCAUCAGAAAAAGGACCGUCUAAUUCCGUGCCAGCAGCCGCGGUAAUACGGAGGAUGCGCGCGUUCUCCGGAUUUAUUGGGUGUAAAGGGUGCGUAGGCGGAAGGUUAAGUCAGCGGUCAAAUGUCGGUUCUCAACACCGGCCUGCCGUUGAAACUGGUCUUCUUGAGUGAGCGAGAAGUGUGCGGAAUGGGUGGUGUAGCGGUGAAAUGCAUAGAUAUCACGCAGAACUCCGAUUGCGAAGGCAGCAUACCGGCGCUCAACUGACGCUGAGGCACGAGAGCGUGGGGAUCGAACAGGAUUAGAUACCCUGUAGUC